UGUACUUGCUAUCCUUUGGCAUCAAGAUAUCGUUAAGCCUGGUAUAACCAUAGCUAUCCAAUUCUUGUGGCAGCAGAAUAGCCAUCUAUCAGAAUACAUAUAUAUAAAUAUAGGUCUUCGACUAUAAUGAUAUGCAUGCAAACACAGCGGUGAUGACUGAGACGAUAUUCCUUCCUGGUGUUCUGCAGUUGGGACACUAGAUAGACGAUCCUUUCUGUUAAGAUUACAAAAUUUCGAAGGAGGGGGUCCUAUAGUUUCUUCUUCUUCCUGAAAAUAUAAACGUCAGUCUCCUCAUAGGCGUAUUCUGGAUGUAAAUGCUCGUGUGGAACCUUUUCGACGUCAAACAUCUCUCCACAAAGCUCCCAGAACUUCUCAUGCGCCUCAGGAGAUCUCAGCUGAUACCCCAACAAAACGACACCGUUUUCUCCCACCAAAGCAUCCAUAGCCGACAGCAACGGACCAACCGUCUCCUCCAAGUACACCACAUCGGCGGCGAUGACGACAUCAAACGGCGGGCCGAGUGAUUUUAUCUGAUCCUGAUUGGACCAGUUCAACUGAGCCGUCUUCAAACUCUUCUUCAAAACAGGCUUGUUUCGCUUCAGAUUGUGCUUUAGGGCUGGCAUAACCGGAGCAAUAUCGGUGAUAACGACGUUGUUUAGACCUAAUAAGAAAAGCCCCAUCGCUGCUACUCCACAGCCGGCUCCGAGCUCUACACCGCGCUUGUUGUGAAAGUUAAGGAUUUCAGCAUAGGGAUUUGGGUUCACGGCGCAUGUUUGAGGAUGCCACCGUUCACCGAACUUGACAAGGACUAGUGAACAGGGCCAUACACUGGUGCCGACAUGCAUAGAUCCAUUGUCUUGAUGGAAAGCUAGCUGAGAAUCGAGGACUUUAAGGUCGAUCACCGGCGAGUCAGUGAACUUCAUUAUCUCUUCAAGGUCGAUCACCG
Molecule: unclassified non-coding RNA, 946 nt
Filed under: Hevea brasiliensis (rubber tree)
Lineage: Eukaryota; Viridiplantae; Streptophyta; Magnoliopsida; Malpighiales; Euphorbiaceae
Source: RNAcentral